This 497-nucleotide ribosomal RNA is filed under the name uncultured bacterium. Its description in RNAcentral is "partial 16S ribosomal RNA". It matches the Rfam family "Bacterial small subunit ribosomal RNA", at positions 28 to 507 of the family's 1533-position model. The record is from RNAcentral.
GAUGAACGCUGGCGGCGUGCCUAAUACAUGCAAGUCGAGCGAACAGACGAGGAGCUUGCUCCUCUGACGUUAGCGGCGGACGGGUGAGUAACACGUGGAUAACCUACCUAUAAGACUGGGAUAACUUCGGGAAACCGGAGCUAAUACCGGAUAAUAUAUUGAACCGCAUGGUUCAAUAGUGAAAGACGGUUUUGCUGUCACUUAUAGAUGGAUCCGCGCCGCAUUAGCUAGUUGGUAAGGUAACGGCUUACCAAGGCAACGAUGCGUAACCGACCUGAGAGGGUGAUCGCCCACCCGGGAAGUGGAACAGGGUCCAGGCGCCUACGGGAGGCAGCAGUAGGGAAUCGGCCGCAAUAGGCGAGAGCUUGGCGGAGCAGCGCCGCGUGAGUGGUGACGGUCUUCGGAGCGGAAAACUCUGUUACUAGGGAAGAACAAAUGUGUAAGUAACUAUGCACGACGUGACGGUACCUAAUCAGAAAGCCACGGCUAACUACGUG